CCUACGUGUGGCUGCAGUGAGGAAUAUUGGUCAAUGGCCGGAAGGCUGAACCAGCCAUGCCGCGUGAAGGUCAGUGCCCUAUGGGCGUUAAACUUCUUUUGUGCGGGAGCAAUAAUGGUCACGUGUGGCCAGACGAGAGUACCGUACGAAUAAGCAUCGGCUAACUCCGUGCCAGCAGCCGCGGUAAUACGGGGGAUGCAAGCGUUAUCCGGAUUUAUUGGGUUUAAAGGGUGCGUAGGCUGUGAGGUAAGUCAGCGGGGAAAUGCCCCCGCUCAACGGGGUGAAGUGCCAUUGAUACUGGCUUGCUGGAGUGCGGGUGCGGCGGGAGGAAUGUGUGGGGUAGCGGUGAAAUGCGUAGAGAUCACACAGAACACCGAUUGCGAAGGCAUCUCACGAAUCCGCGAUUGACGCUGAUGCACGAAAGCGUGGGUAUCAAACAGGAUUAGAUACCCUUGUAGUC
This 460-nucleotide ribosomal RNA is filed under the name uncultured bacterium. RNAcentral describes it as "partial 16S ribosomal RNA". It matches the Rfam family "Bacterial small subunit ribosomal RNA", at positions 338 to 795 of the family's 1533-position model. The record is from RNAcentral.